RNAcentral lists this long non-coding RNA (683 nucleotides) under Elaeis guineensis (African oil palm). RNAcentral describes it as "long non-coding RNA (EGUI_LNC036282)". Lineage: Eukaryota; Viridiplantae; Streptophyta; Magnoliopsida; Arecales; Arecaceae. The record is from RNAcentral.
UUGUGUGUAGAUUCAAUUGCAAAUCUCAGAUAGAGCCCGUCGACCUCUAUCCAGACCAGCUCAUCGAGUUUUUCUCUGAGCCAUACUCUUACAUAUGAUAAUCUACGGGACCUCCCCAGUCCGUCGAUCAAUAUCCAGACUAGCUCGUUGAGUUUUUCUUCGAGCUAUACUUCUGCGAAGGACAACCUACGAAACCUUCGUCGUCCAUCGAUCACUAUCUGGGCUAGCUCGUCGAGUUUCUCUCUGAGCCAUACUUCUGUGGAGGACAACCCACGAGACCUCCGCAGUCUGUCGAGUUAUCUUCGGAUCCUCCAGUCCAUCGAUCUCUAUCCAGAUCAGCUCGUCGAGUUUUUCUUUGAGCCAUACUCCAACGGAGGACAACCUACGAGACCUUCGCAACCCAUUGAUCUCUAUCCGAGUCAGCUCGUCGAGUUUUUCUCCAAAUCAGACUCCUACAGAGGACAACCUAUAGGACCUCUGCAGUUCGUCAAAUUAUCUCUGGAUCCUCCAACCCAUCGAUCUCUAUCCGAGUUAGCUCAUCGAGUUUUUCUGUGAGCCAUACUCCUGUGGAGGACAACCUACAGGACCUCCAUAGCUCGUCGAGUUUUCCUCCAAACUGUACUCCUGUAGAGGACAACCUAUAGGACCUCCACAGCCCAUCGAGUUAUCUCUGAAUCCUCCAG